Molecule: long non-coding RNA, 384 nt
Organism: Amblyraja radiata (thorny skate)
Lineage: Eukaryota; Metazoa; Chordata; Chondrichthyes; Rajiformes; Rajidae
Exons: 2
Source: RefSeq, a predicted model, not a curated record
GAGAGAGAGACAGAAAGAGACAGACAGAGAAAGAGAGAAAAAGAGAGAGACAGAGACAGAAGACAGAGAGAGAGACUCAUGAUGUCAGGAAGCAGUCUGACAUAUAGAAAAUGAUUAUGGACUCUCAAAUGCCAAAAAGGCCAUGGGUGAAAAUAUACAUUUUAAAAUAGAGUACAAUAGAUAUUGCUGGACGAGGAGAGUGAGCAUUUUGGAAGCAUCUGAAGGGAUGGAGGUAAAAUACAGAUAUUUAACAGUGGGACAAGUUUGACAGGUUGAAUAUUUCAUCAUGUUCUAAUACACUUCACCUCCUGCGUCUGGGUUCAAACCCUUGACAUUUGAUAACCUGGAUCAGAUGGGGUUUUUUCAGCAAUGCUAAUCCAAGUU